AUGCACAUGCUGUGAGCUCGAUGAGUAGGGCGGGACACGUGGUAUCCUGUCUGAAUAUGGGGGGACCAUCCUCCAAGGCUAAAUACUCCUGACUGACCGAUAGUGAACCAGUACCGUGAGGGAAAGGCGAAAAGAACCCCGGCGAGGGGAGUGAAAAAGAACCUGAAACCGUGUACGUACAAGCAGUGGGAGCACGCUUAGGCGUGUGACUGCGUACCUUUUGUAUAAUGGGUCAGCGACUUAUAUUCUGUAGCAAGGUUAACCGAAUAGGGGAGCCGAAGGGAAACCGAGUCUUAACUGGGCGUUAAGUUGCAGGGUAUAGACCCGAAACCCGGUGAUCUAGCCAUGGGCAGGUUGAAGGUUGGGUAACACUAACUGGAGGACCGAACCGACUAAUGUUGAAAAAUUAGCGGAUGACUUGUGGCUGGGGGUGAAAGGCCAAUCAAACCGGGAGAUAGCUGGUUCUCCCCGAAAGCUAUUUAGGUAGCGCCUCGUGAAUUCAUCUCCGGGGGUAGAGCACUGUUUCGGCAAGGGGGUCAUCCCGACUUACCAACCCGAUGCAAACUGCGAAUACCGGAGAAUGUUAUCACGGGAGACACACGGCGGGUGCUAACGUCCGUCGUGAAGAGGGAAACAACCCAGACCGCCAGCUAAGGUCCCAAAGUCAUGGUUAAGUGGGAAACGAUGUGGGAAGGCCCAGACAGCCAGGAUGUUGGCUUAGAAGCAGCCAUCAUUUAAAGAAAGCGUAAUAGCUCACUGGUCGAGUCGGCCUGCGCGGAAGAUGUAACGGGGCUAAACCAUGCACCGAAGCUGCGGCAGCGACGCUGAUGCGUUGUUGGGUAGGGGAGCGUUCUGUAAGCCUGCGAAGGUGUGCUGUGAGGCAUGCUGGAGGUAUCAGAAGUGCGAAUGCUGAC
RNAcentral lists this ribosomal RNA (914 nucleotides) under Escherichia coli. RNAcentral describes it as "partial 23S ribosomal RNA". It matches the Rfam family "Bacterial large subunit ribosomal RNA", at positions 388 to 1301 of the family's 2925-position model. Lineage: Bacteria; Pseudomonadati; Pseudomonadota; Gammaproteobacteria; Enterobacterales; Enterobacteriaceae. The record is from RNAcentral.